GCCGCUCCUGCAUUAAAAUUUCAUGGGCGCUGCAGUAAACGCGAAGACGAUGCCGGCUGCGCUGGGGGGCCGUAGGGAGGGAGGCUGCGGACCAGAGCGGGGAGGAGUUUGCGAGGGGAGGCGCUUGGGAGGACUCCCCCAGUUCUGUUAAGAGCUGGGCACAAAGAGCCCUUUGCACUCCAGCCGCAGGAGCGAAGAGGAGCCGAGCUAGAUGCACAUGGGCGUGGGGACUUCCGUACACACCAACCCACAAGGUUAGCAGCUGGAGUCCUGUCUGUCCUCAUCACACGGACAUGGCUGACCUGUCUCAGUAGUACCCGGGGGCGAAGCAGGGAGCUGGGCGGUGGAGGCCAACGACUUUACCAAGUUGGCUCUGUCACAACACAGGGACCGAGCCUCCUGAGCCUCAAGAUUUCCGGCUGGUACCCAGGUGGCAGAAGAGCGGAGGGAUUUGGAAAAAGACGCCGCUACCCUGCAAAGCAGCCUUGCAGAUAAGUAUCAUUUCACCAGCCCGCCUGCUCUCUGCUGGUGCGUGUGAGAAAGGUUCAGCUCUGGAACCCGGGACGGGAGGGUGGAUGGGCUCAUCCUGUGACUCUGGCUCUUGAAGAUGCCAUUGGUCAGCUUGAACAGGCUCCUUGGUCUUGCAGACACGGGGGGGGGGGACCUCCUCAGGGUUCCUCCACUCAGGAUCCUCCAGGAUCCUGGGACAGGAGGCUCUAAGAGCAGCUACGAGAUGUAUCGCCUUCCCUGGCUCGGGGUUUGGAGCACAGAUGUAGCAUGACUGUUAGGAAAGAGCCAACCUGAGUCCUGGUGUGACAUGCAGGCACUCCCUUCUCUCUUCCACCACCCCGGUGACUUGCAGUGGUCCACACAAGCCCUGCACCUUUUGGCCACCUGUUUCUUUGUUGUGGGGGUCACAGGAAGGAAGGGACUGAGAUGGGCAGAGGGCUGCUCUCAUUUCUCAACCAGGCCUUGAAUGGCCACCCUUGUGGGUCAGGGCAGGGAUCAGAGAGAGGCACAGGCUCCCAGCCACCAGGAUAGUACUAAGCUCAGAGUUUCAGAUCCCUCUCCGUCCAGCACCCCCCACCUCUGUUGUCCCCUAUUUGCCCAGUUUGCUCUGAGUUUUCCUGGGUCACACAAGAAUCCACAAUGCUCUAGUUGACAGAGAAGGAGGAAGCAGAUGGCUCCUGAGCCAAGGCAGGGCUUGGGCCUGGUCAUCUCCUAGGGUGCAUCCUGUGUGUGUGUUGGGGGGGGGGGGAGCGGGUGGCUGGCUCUUCUGUCUUCCAGAGUCAUCCUGUGAUGUCUGUGUGCGGGAGGCGCUAGGCUCUAGGCCUUCCAUGAUGUUGAUGAUGUAAUGAUGUCAGAUGUCAACCUGACCUUUAAGGUGGUGCUGCUGGCCAUCCAGGGGUGAACGCCAGAGAGAUGGCCCCACCUUCUAUGAUCUUCAAGUACGAAAACCCAUCACCACAGCUCAGCAAGCGGACAGCUCUGUGCAUCUCCAGACCCUUAUCUGUCUUGGAGCCCCCGGGAUCCCUUGGAUUCUGACCUCCUGGAACUGGGGAGCAACCUGUCUCCCUGAAGACCCUCUCCUUCCCAGUACCUGAGAUGGAGCCUGCCUCCCCCCGAAGAAGAGCCAUUCCUGAAGAUGUACUACUGAGGAGUCACCCUGCUUUUUUCAUGGACAGCUCCAGGGGGUGGGGGGAGGCUGCAGCUUAGAACCCAGGCACCGGGAGGCCUCUCCUCAUCUCAUGUGGACUGGAAUCCUCCAGUCUCUGGAGAUGGGGUGGAGCUAGGCCCCCUCCUGGCCACAGGGUGGUGUCUCAAAGGACCUGCGGGUAGGGUAGGACUCCAUGGGCUCGGAGGAGGAGCUGAUGGGGAGGAGUCCCAUGUCUGUCUUUGUCUGUUUUCCUUUCUCUCGUUUUUUCCCUUUUCAAUUCCUUUUCUUUUCUUUCUUUCUUUUCUUUUUUGUCUGUUUGCUGCUUGAGUGAUGAGUCUGGGUGCCUCUUGGGUGAGGCUUUUAGCUCCCUGCUGGUUGUGGGAAGGGGAGAGACAGACAGUCCUGGUCCGGGAGGAGUCUGGCUAGCCUCCCCUGUGCUGUUCAGCACAGGAAGGAACCUUGGAAAGAGAAAGGGGGCACUCUAAGAUAAGGAGACCCAGUAUGGAGGUCCAUAGCCCCAGCUUCCUCUAGUCACUGGAGAAUGGGCUGCACCCAGUCAGUUACAAAGACUUUGCCCAGGACAUGGGGGGUGCCCAGCCAGCACCCCAAUCCAUAUUGCAUAGCCACGGAGGGAUCCUCAGGGCCCAGUGCCCAGUAUAACCUGUCCAUUCUUCACCUCUUGUCACAGACAGUCCUGGAGGAGGGUCUACAACCAGCAACAGCACUGUAUGGCCUUCCUUGGGACAGUCUAGAAUCAGGAAGCCCUUGACUGCAGUGGGGUGGGGCACAGUUGAUUAUUUAUUCUGCAUCCUGGCCUGCGGUGCUCGGCCCCAGAGACUCACACCACAGGGCUUGAGGCUGGCAAAGCAAGACCAAAGUGCCAGCGGUAGCUUAUGUCUUCACGGGGCCUUGCUCGGUGUCCAGAGUGAGUGAGAGAGGCUCCAGGGUUUUGUCCAUGACGGCCUUGCCAUUUCAGGACCCAAGCUUACAAAGAACGACCUUAUCUGAGCUUAGGCACAUCCCUGGUCUUGUCUCUCUGUGCCUUCACAGAGGGGCUGGAGAUUCAGCCUGUGCCUCUCGGGGCGGGGAAAGAGGGGAAUCAUAAACAUGAGCAGCUAGACUCCCCUUCAGAGUUCCUCAGGUAGGGAGGAACAGGCAAACAUAAGAAGGGUACAGGGUUGCGGGCGUUGUGCCAGUUGUCUUGAGGACAUACACGGUGGCUGCAGCCAGUACGGAGCCAGCUUGGGUCUCAGGGUACCCUCUACAAGCCCCCUUGUCUCUACCAGCUUUGAUUUCCACAUGUCAUGUGGGCCAUAUGCUCUCUUGGUGGCCUAGGCAGCUCUUAGGCGAACCUGUGCCUGGCUCAGUGCUAGGCGCUCAGUAGAUGUGCCAUACAGUUCUGUUUCAGUGGGAGUGUAGGGAGUUUAGGUGAGGGUUCAUCUGGGUUGGGUACAGUCUGAUCCACGGGCGUUUCUGGCUGGGCCACUCAGAGUGGUCUGCCUUGCCGACCAGUCUGGGGGCAGCGGCCACCUUUGGUUUCUGUUGUAGUUUGCGGCUUUUCCAGAAGGAGAUGAACCUUGUUUCCUGCUAGACCAUGGAUCCCAGCAGGGUUCUUUUAUUUGUGUAGCCAUCUUGGGAAAUACAGGUGCUGUCCAGCCGCAUCUCAGACACUUUGCAACUUUGUAGUCAUCGGCCAGAAACCGUGUCCAGGAAGAAUUAGCCAAUAGGCAGUCAAGAGAGGCCAGAGUGAUUAGACAAUAGGCAGGCAAGAGAGGCCAGUGUGGGAGAGAGACCCCAGCUCUGGCAGGAGGGAGGGAGAGGCUUCGUAGUCAGGCUGACCCCUGCAGGAGCUUUGAAGGAUGAGAAAGGCGUGGCUUGCCUGAGUGGUUUUGGAAAGAAACUAAAGCAAAAUUCAAAUAGGUCAAAUACAGGGUAGGACUUUUUAGAGCCUCAAAGUGCUAACGAGCACCUCAGACACUCAGGCUGGGAUGGAAGGGUGAGACAUCAUCUGUCUUUGCUGGCUACAGAAUUAUUUUCUUACCCAACAUCUAGAAUGUUGGGAGACACAGCAUUGGGCUUUAGAAGUGUACUCAGGUGUCCCGUUGUCCUUGUCGCCUGGGAGGAAAGAGAAGCUGGAGGGGGUGGGGCUUGGGGGAGUCCCAGCUUUGUCUUCGGAGUCAGGUCAGUUCCUUGCAGUUCCUUCUUUGUAGAGGAGGGCAGGGUAGGCCAUUGGUGGGAGCAGCUAGAGACGGGGAGCUAGUGAUGGAAGAGAUGUUCAUUUUCAAAGGCAGCAGCUCUGGGGGGUGAGAUGCUGGUGUGUGUGUGUGUGUGUGUGUGUGUGUGUGUGUGUGUGUGCACGCUAGUGCUCACACACAAGCAUGUGAGGAGAUCCUUCUGGGAAGAGACUGGCCACAACUUGGCAGGGGGUUUGCACUGAGGACAAGCUGGGUACAUUUUUUUUUUUUUUUUUUUAGCAGAUCUGAAGUGUCUGUGGAGCUCUGAGACCCACAGCCUAGAAAUGGAAGCUCUGGGCUUCCAGCAUGGGGUUACUGAGGUCAGGCCUGGUUCCUACGGUGGGUGCUGAUGGGGGGUAUAGAGGCAGACCCCCUGCCCUGGUCAGGCUCCAUACCCAGGCUGGUGGGGACAGGAGGCCUGUGGUGGGUCAGGGGUGGGGGGGGCGUUGAGAGGGGAAGGCUGCAUGGUGUGAUUAACCUACUAACCAACCCAGGGCUCGGCCAGGACGCUGUGGCACGCGACGAGAUGCCUGGCCUUCUGUCAACCGACUAAUCCACUAACCUGGCCCGAGCAUGACCUACUAACCCCGAAGCAGCCAAACCCUACUAACUCUGCAGGCCAGGGGCCUUCCCGGAGGCUGGUACGCGGACAAGGCUCAGGAAGGCCCUGCCUGGGGGCUGGGAUCUAUGUGCAGACCCAUCCUGCAGGACAGGACAUGCUAGGAGACUCACCAACUCUGCCGCCCCCUGCUGGCGGAACGGGACCCUUCUACUUCCCUUGAUGCCCGUGGUGAGGUGACUGAGGUGUUGCCGCAUGGCAGGGACUUCAAAAUGGAGUAAGACACACUGAGGGCGGGCCUCGGGGGACUCGGUGGUACGUCCAUUCUCUGAUCUCGGGUGUUCUGCACACAGACCCUUCUACCUGGGGCAGACACGUGCUUUGAAUCCUUAACGUCUCUUCCCUUUCUCCCCUCUUGCCGGCUUUCUCUCCCGUAGGCAGCUCUUUUGAUUACUAAUUGUCUAACCCCGGGGCACCCCACUCUGCACCCCGCCGCCCCUUAACUAACGGCCCUCCCGCUGCCUUCUUCUCUCUAGUGGCUCCUGUGUGUGUCUGCUGGUGCUGUGCUCUGACCUACUAACCCGGCCCUACUAACUGGUUUCUCUUCUUACUAACCCAGCCCUGCCGAGCUCUGGGCCUCCUGGGGGCUGGUCCCUCCUUUUGGCAAGCAGAUGUCCCCAGGCUGUCCAGGCCAGAUCUGAGCCAGGGGGCAGCCGUAUUUAGUGACGCCCAGAGGAGGAGGAGGAGGAGGCUGUCCUGUGGACGUGGGACGCUGGGCUCCGAGCAUGACCUCUCUCCUCUGUGCACAAGUCUGGUUGCCACCAGGAGUGGAUGGGACCAGGGGACCUUGUGGGAACCAUUGUGGUGCCCGUGGCUCUAGAAUUGGCAAUUCUGGGCCCUACCUAGCUGGGGCCCUCUGUGAUUUAGGGCAGGGAGAGAGGGGUAAGAACAUCAGGGGCUGGCCAUCUGGUACAGGAGCUCAAAGGUGUGUGUUGGAACCCGAAGCCCUACCUGGAAGCUAUAAACAAGUUUCCUAAGCCGGCAGCAUGUGAGGGGCCAUUUCCUGGAAACACCACAGUGCAGAGUCGGGCGUUUCCCAGUGAAGCCCGAGGAGAGGGCAUCAGGAAGUCUGUAAGAGGGCUUUUCUCUCAGCCUGAGAAGAGAUGGCCAAUGGCCAGUAAGAACGUUCUCCACAUAGGCAGUCAACUAGCCAGGCCUUUUCCACUGAGAGAGGCGGAAAUCUCAAACUGGAAGUCUAUUUCGGACCAUUUUCACACAGGAAGUAGGUGUCAGGAUAUUUUUUCCCCUUAGGAAGUGUUUAGAGACACUCUCUCCACACUUAGAGAGGACGGGCUGCCAGUUGUCAAGAUGCACAGUCCGGGAAGUGUCUCUACGGGCCCUUAGGGCUUAUGGGAGGGGCAAAUGGGUGCCAGGAAGUGAAUCCUAGAGGCCCACAGGCCCAUGGGAAGUCACCCCAGCUCCUUGUCCGGUUUAUAUCCAUGCCUCUGCCCCAGCCAGCCUCCCCCAGAGCCCGCCAGCUGCUAAGCCAGGGCCACACCUGGGGGUGAUUUCAUGCCUCACCUCCAGUAGGCUCAUGGCCUCUCUGGGCUAACCUCUGGCUCUUUUGCACUAACUCUAGCUCUCCCCCAGCUAAUCCCUGCCUCUCCCUGGCUGCCCCAGGGGCUGACCACUAGCAGCCAGCCCCGCCCACCCGCGGGGCUCCAGGCUCCUGGCCUGGCGGCUCCUUUGAACCAACCACCCUUUCCUCUGGACUAAUGUAUGCCUUUCUGGUCUGUUCCUUCCGGCAGAAAUGAAUGGCUGUGGAUUUCUCUCUGACUAACAGGUCUCACACUCCUCUCCCUGUUACCACUAACGGCUUGGAUGAUGGCGGCGUGGCUGGCGAGGGAUGGGCGGAGGUGCUGAGCUUGGUUGCUAUGGGGAGGAUGUAGAGAGUGAGAGUAGACACGUGACCGGUCCGGGUCAGAGCUUUCAAAUGUCAAUUAAAGUGGUAACCGGGCUGGGGUGUGGCUCAGCCCAGAAGAAAGGAUACUGUCUACUGAGCAUUUUGGUGGGACCACACAUACAGCCAACCUUCUAUGGGUGUGGCCACCGGCUCCAUCCAUAUAGCCUUACAAUCUGCAGUGGCCGCUAGUUCCUGUAAACUACAGUGUCAGUUCUUGCAAGCAGUUCUUAGCUCAUAUAGGAGCCUAAGACACCUGUCUGGUGGGCCCAAUUUGUUACUUAUGGACUUGUUGAGCACAAGGUCAUGGCCUCCCUGGAGUCCUAGUUUAGGAGACUUACAGAGUUUUGGCCCUAUGACGACAUCAGACUCCAGAUAGAAAUAUCCAGAAGGGCUGUACAUUCUCCAUCGCUUACACCCUAGAGUAAAAUAACUCGACCUUUCCCUCCAAGUCUUUUAAAGAAGCUCUUUUACACAGGGUAGGCGUGCAGAGGGCAGGGAGUAUGGCUGGCAGGGAGUUAGGAAUCUUUAAGGCAAGGGGAAGUCCUCUGGAAGUAGGGACAGAAAGCCAUGAGGCCAAAGGGCCCUUGUGGAGCUGAGGGUGACACCAGGUUGAAGUGGGCAAGAGAAGAGAGCUUGUUUCACUGAGUGGUCUGGAAGCCAGAGCCUAGAAGGCUGGAGGCUCAGGGACAGGCUGCCUGAUCAAUGGGUGCUGUGAGAACUGCUUACCCACGGGGCUUAGGACUGACUGUAGAGAUGCCAGAGAGCCUAAGGAGGGACCUGAGCCACGGAGGAAGUGGAGAGACCACGGAGGCAAUGGAGAGACCCCGUAGGAACGUGGGUUUACCGGCCAGGUACGGCUAGUACGUACUCGCUGCUGCCCUCUCAUGGCCAAUCCGCCACAUUUUACAAACAAUGCCCAAAGAAAGGCUGCACAGGGGGCUCUGCUCCGGAAAUUGAGUGUGGGCAGAAGCUUGAUCGCAGAAGGCGUGACAGGGUCCCAGUUUGGGAUAGUAGCUGGUCCUCGGUGGCUGUAAUUAUGUGUGAUGGGCCCGGGACACUGAAGAGGGCAGGGAUCAGGAGAGCUAAGACGAGGUAGGCAGGGAGGGCUCGCUGAAGGGGAAUCAUGCCAGAUAAACCUUGACAGUCAGGGAGGGCGUGGCUGGAACAAGCCGCACUCGAUUUAGGAUUAGAGAGCACCCAAAGAUUCCUGGGGAGGUGUAUCAAGUGAGACGUUCAGGAGGUGGCAAGCUCCAGGCCUCAUUGGCUGUAAAAGACAGACUUCAUUCCUUGGGAUGCCAGACGUAGUCUGUAAUUGUAACCCCAGCACUUGCACAUUAGAGACAGAUCUCUGGGGUCUACCUGCCUGCCAGCCAGCCAGCCUAGCUAGUAUCAUAUGGUCUGAGAGAGAAGGUGGCAGGGCCCGAGUUCUCAGGCUACUUUGGUCGAGCCAGCCUAGGUGGGGCAGGGAGGAGCUUGCCAUGUGCGCUGGCCACGUUAUAGAAACCACCAGAACUUCUGGUCGCUGGGAAAGACACUUCGGUCCAUCUGGAGAGGAGCGGGGUUCAUAGUGCUCCACCCUUCCCUGGGGAUCGUGAGAGAUCCCCGGAAAGUGAGGGACCGAGGGGACAAAGAGGAACUUGAAACUUAACACAGGCCCCGGUGGUGUGCGCCUCCUCCAGAAGAUCUGGAGGUAGGUGGUGUUGGCGGUGAUGGUGUGUGUGUGUGUGUGUGUGUGUGUGUGUACACGUGUGUGCAUGAGAGAGCGAGAGAGACGGUAGAGAAAAAAGAGAGGCUAUAACUCGAGAAAACUGAGUCCCCGAGGCUCGUUCUAAUCGCCUGCAUCUGGGCUGCCCCUGCCCCCUAAUUCCAUUCAACUUUAGGCUUGUUUUGAGCAGGACCCUGUGGGUGCGGGAUUGGCCUCCUGUCUAAAGAGGUCAUAGCCUGCUUGGAGGGAGGAGCCUCGGUGGCUCCUCCCCGAGGGUGGGACUGGAGACAGCGAGGAAAACCUGGUGGUGUCCACAGGUUGGGAGCUCUGGUGCAGCCACUCUGGAAUCUGUCUAGGGAACCCAUUGUUUUAUAACCAUCUCAGCAAAGAUGUCUGUUCCAUGUUGUUCCUGCUGGGGGAAGCUGAGUGUGGGGCCCUGGAAUCCGGAUGUAGAUUAAAAGAUGUAGAUGCUUCCAUGGGUCCAGCCACAGUUACAGCGUCUUUUGGUUUUUAUGCUUGUAGCUGCCUCUGUGUAAGAUGCCGUUUUGAUAUUAAAACCGACCCACACUG
Molecule: long non-coding RNA, 8688 nt
Organism: Mus pahari (shrew mouse)
Lineage: Eukaryota; Metazoa; Chordata; Mammalia; Rodentia; Muridae
Exons: 6
Source: RefSeq, a predicted model, not a curated record